GUGAACGCUGGCGGUAGGCCUAACACAUGCAAGUCGCACGGCAGCACAGUAAGAGCUUGCUCUUACGGGUGGCGAGUGGCGGACGGGUGAGGAAUACAUCGGAAUCUACUUUUUCGUGGGGGAUAACGUAGGGAAACUUACGCUAAUACCGCAUACGACCUACGGGUGAAAGCAGGGGAUCUUCGGACCUUGCGCGAUUGAAUGAGCCGAUGUCGGAUUAGCUAGUUGGCGGGGUAAAGGCCCACCAAGGCGACGAUCCGUAGCUGGUCUGAGAGGAUGAUCAGCCACACUGGAACUGAGACACGGUCCAGACUCCUACGGGAGGCAGCAGUGGGGAAUAUUGGACAAAGGGCGCAAGCCUGAUCCAGCUAUACCGCGUGGGUGAAGAAGGCCUUCGGGUUGUAAAGCCCUUUUGUUGGGAAAGAAAAGCAGCAGGUUAAUACCCCGCUGUUCUGACGGUACCCAAAGAAUAAGCACCGGCUAACUUCGUG
This 491-nucleotide ribosomal RNA is filed under the name uncultured bacterium. Its description in RNAcentral is "partial 16S ribosomal RNA". It matches the Rfam family "Bacterial small subunit ribosomal RNA", at positions 29 to 507 of the family's 1533-position model. The record is from RNAcentral.